This 663-nucleotide ribosomal RNA is filed under the name uncultured Actinomycetales bacterium. Its description in RNAcentral is "bacterial SSU rRNA". It matches the Rfam family "Bacterial small subunit ribosomal RNA", at positions 63 to 738 of the family's 1533-position model. The record is from RNAcentral. Lineage: Bacteria; Bacillati; Actinomycetota; Actinomycetes; Actinomycetales.
CGAACGGAAAGGCUCCAGCUUGCUGGAGUACUCGAGUGGCGAACGGGUGAGUAACACGUGGGUAAUCUGCCCUGCACUCUGGGAUAAGCCUGGGAAACUGGGUCUAAUACUGGAUAUGACCUUUCUCCUUAUGGGGUUUGGUGGAAGGUUUUUCGGUGUAGGAUGAGCCCGCGGCCUAUCAGCUUGUUGGUGGGGUGAUGGCCUACCAAGGCGACGACGGGUAGCCGGCCUGAGAGGGUGAUCGGCCACAUUGGGACUGAGAUACGGCCCAGACUCCUACGGGAGGCAGCAGUGGGGAAUAUUGCACAAUGGGCGGAAGCCUGAUGCAGCGACGCCGCGUGAGGGAUGACGGCCUUCGGGUUGUAAACCUCUUUCAGCAGGGACGAAGCGUAAGUGACGGUACCUGCAGAAGAAGCACCGGCUAACUAUGUGCCAGCAGCCGCGGUAAUACGUAGGGUGCGAGCGUUGUCCGGAAUUACUGGGCGUAAAGAGCUCGUAGGCGGUUUGUCACGUCGUCUGUGAAAUCCUAGGGCUUAACCCUGGACGUGCAGGCGAUACGGGCUGACUUGAGUACUACAGGGGAGACUGGAAUUUCUGGUGUAGCGGUGGAAUGCACAGAUAUCAGGAAGAACACCGAUGGCGAAGGCAGGUCUCUGGGUAGUA